UUUUUUUUUUUUUUUUUUUUUUUUUUUUUUUUUUCUU
Molecule: non-coding RNA, 37 nt
Filed under: Alexandrium minutum
Lineage: Eukaryota; Dinophyceae; Gonyaulacales; Pyrocystaceae
Source: RNAcentral